This 1343-nucleotide ribosomal RNA is filed under the name uncultured bacterium. RNAcentral describes it as "16S ribosomal RNA". It matches the Rfam family "Bacterial small subunit ribosomal RNA", at positions 28 to 1378 of the family's 1533-position model. The record is from RNAcentral.
GACGAACGCUGGCGGCGUGCUUAACACAUGCAAGUCGAACGGAAAGGCCCUGCUUUUGUGGGGUGCUCGAGUGGCGAACGGGUGAGUAACACGUGAGUAACCUGCCCUUGACUUUGGGAUAACUUCAGGAAACUGGGGCUAAUACCGGAUAGGAGCUCCUGCUGCAUGGUGGGGGUUGGAAAGUUUCGGCGGUUGGGGAUGGACUCGCGGCUUAUCAGCUUGUUGGUGGGGUAGUGGCUUACCAAGGCUUUGACGGGUAGCCGGCCUGAGAGGGUGACCGGCCACAUUGGGACUGAGAUACGGCCCAGACUCCUACGGGAGGCAGCAGUGGGGAAUAUUGCACAAUGGGCGGAAGCCCGAUGCAGCAACGCCGCGUGCGGGAUGACGGCCUUCGGGUUGUAAACCGCUUUCGCCUGUGACGAAGCGUGAGUGACGGUAAUGGGUAAAGAAGCACCGGCUAACUACGUGCCAGCAGCCGCGGUGAUACGUAGGGUGCGAGCGUUGUCCGGAUUUAUUGGGCGUAAAGGGCUCGUAGGUGGUUGAUCGCGUCGGAAGUGUAAUCUUGGGGCUUAACCCUGAGCGUGCUUUCGAUACGGGUUGACUUGAGGAAGGUAGGGGAGAAUGGAAUUCCUGGUGGAGCGGUGGAAUGCGCAGAUAUCAGGAGGAACACCAGUGGCGAAGGCGGUUCUCUGGGCCUUUCCUGGCGCUGAGGAGCGAAAGCGUGGGGAGCGAACAGGCUUAGAUACCCUGGUAGUCCACGCUGUAAACGGUGGGUACUAGGUGUGGGGUCCAUUCCACGGGUUCCGUGCCGUAGCUAACGCUUUAAGUACCCCGCCUGGGGAGUACGGCCGCAAGGCUAAAACUCAAAGGAAUUGACGGGGCCCCGCACAAGCGGCGGAGCAUGCGGAUUAAUUCGAUGCAACGCGUAGAACCUUACCUGGGUUUGACAUGGAUCGGGAGCGCUCAGAGAUGGGUGUGCCUCUUUUGGGGUCGGUUCACAGGUGGUGCAUGGCUGUCGUCAGCUCGUGUCGUGAGAUGUUGGGUUAAGUCCCGCAACGAGCGCAACCCUUGUUCACUGUUGCCAGCACGUUAUGGUGGGGACUCAGUGGAGACCGCCGGGGUCAACCCGGAGGAAGGUGGGGAUGACGUCAAGUCAUCAUGCCCCUUAUGUCCAGGGCUUCACGCAUGCUACAAUGGCUGGUACAGAGAGUGGCGAGCCUGUGAGGGUGAGCGAAUCUCGGAAAGCCGGUCUCAGUUCGGAUUGGGGUCUGCAACUCGACCUCAUGAAGUCGGAGUCGCUAGUAAUCGCAGAUCAGCAACGCUGCGGUGAAUACGUUCCCGGG